CAAUAGCGUAUAUUAAAGUUGUUGCAGUUAAAAAGCUCGUAGUUGGAUUUCUGGGAGGGUGCCAAUGUCCGUCAACGUGCGUGUGCAGCGGCGCCCUUCCAUCCUUCUGUUAACGCCUCUGGGCAUUUACUUGCCGGAGGCGGGCUCAGAUAUUUUACCUUGAGAAAAUUAGAGUGUUUCAGGCAGGCUAGGCCGGAAUACAUUAGCAUGGAAUAAUAGAAUAGGACUAUGGUCUCUUUGUUGGUUUGAGGGACUAUGGUAAUGAUUAAUAGGGAUAGUUGGGGGCAUUAGUAUUUAAUUGUCAGAGGUGGAAUUCUCAGAUUUGUUAAAGACUAACUUAUGCGAAAGCAUUUGCCAAGGAUGUUUUCAUUA
Molecule: ribosomal RNA, 372 nt
Filed under: uncultured eukaryote
Lineage: Eukaryota
Description: partial 18S ribosomal RNA
Rfam family: Eukaryotic small subunit ribosomal RNA
Source: RNAcentral